This 496-nucleotide ribosomal RNA is filed under the name uncultured bacterium. Its description in RNAcentral is "bacterial SSU rRNA". It matches the Rfam family "Bacterial small subunit ribosomal RNA", at positions 28 to 521 of the family's 1533-position model. The record is from RNAcentral.
GAUGAACGCUGGCGGCAUGCCUAAUACAUGCAAGUCGAACGGAAGCAGCAAUGCUUUAGUGGCGAACGGGUGAGUAACACGUAGGGAACCUACCUAUACGACGAGGAUAACUACUGGAAACGGUAGCUAAAACUGGAUAGGAUCAAUUGAGGCAUCUUGAUUGAUUUAAAGAUCCUUCGGGAUUACGUAGAGAUGGCCCUGCGGCGCAUUAGCUAGUUGGUGAGGUAACGGCCCACCAAGGCGACGAUGCGUAGCUGAGCUGAGAGGCUAAACAGCCACACUGGGACUGAGACACGGCCCAGACUCCUACGGGAGGCAGCAGUAGGGAAUUUUCGGCAAUGGGGGAAACCCUGACCGAGCAAUGCCGCGUGAACGAUGAAGGUCUUCGGAUUGUAAAGUUCUGUGAUUGGGGAAGAAUGGUAUUCUUAGGGAAUGAGGAGUACAUGACGGUACCCGAUUAGAAAGCCCCGGCUAACUAUGUGCCAGCAGCCGCGGU